CAGUUCGGAUUGUAGUCUGCAACUCGACUACAUGAAGCUGGAAUCGCUAGUAAUCGCGGAUCAGAAUGCCGCGGUGAAUACGUUCCCGGGUCUUGUACACACCGCCCGUCACACCAUGGGAGUCGGAAAUGCCCGAAGUCUGUGACCGAACCGAAAGGAAGGAGCAGCCGAAGGCAGGUCGGAUGACUGGGGUGAAGUCGUAACAAGGUACC
This 212-nucleotide ribosomal RNA is filed under the name uncultured bacterium. RNAcentral describes it as "partial 16S ribosomal RNA". It matches the Rfam family "Bacterial small subunit ribosomal RNA", at positions 1289 to 1500 of the family's 1533-position model. The record is from RNAcentral.